This is a long non-coding RNA of Leguminivora glycinivorella, 156 nucleotides long. RefSeq lists it as uncharacterized. The record is from RefSeq and is a predicted model, not a curated record. The transcript has 2 exons. NCBI's taxonomy places the organism in Eukaryota, Metazoa, Arthropoda, Insecta, Lepidoptera, Tortricidae.
UUUUUAAAUUACUGAGGACCCCUUCCAUUGACAUGAUUGCACGGAACCACAAGCCGGCUUCUUUUCUGGAAUGGGUCCUCAGAUUUGGAGGUUAACGUUCGAAGACAGAGCAGAGCUGAUGCUUCCCGAGCCUGGACCGGUGGACAGGAGGCUGUG